UGGGGAAUAUUGCACAAUGGGGGAAACCCUGAUGCAGCGACGCCGCGUGAACGAAGAAGGUAUUCGUAUCGUAAAGUUCUGUCCUAUGGGAAGAUAAUGACAGUACCAUAGAAGAAAGCUCCGGCUAAAUACGUGCCAGCAGCCGCGGUAAUACGUAUGGAGCGAGCGUUGUCCGGAAUUAUUGGGCGUAAAGGGUACGCAGGCGGUUUAAUAAGUCGAAUGUUAAAGAUCGGGGCUCAACCCCGCAAAGCAUUGGAAACUGAUAAACUUGAGUAGUGGAGAGGAAAGUGGAAUUCAUAGUGUAGUGGUGAAAUACGUAGAUAUUAGGAGGAAUACAAGUAGCGAAGGAGACUUUCUGGACACAAACUGACGCUGAGGUACGAAAGCGUGGGGAGCAAACAGG
Molecule: ribosomal RNA, 403 nt
Filed under: bacterium
Lineage: Bacteria
Description: partial 16S ribosomal RNA
Rfam family: Bacterial small subunit ribosomal RNA
Source: RNAcentral